AGUUAAUGAGCUUGAACAAGCAUAUAUUUUGAAAAUAUAAGAUAAAAAUUUCUUUUUAUUAACUU
RNAcentral lists this transfer RNA (65 nucleotides) under Ochthebius sp. IBE<ESP> AN292. RNAcentral's name for it is "tRNA-Ser". Lineage: Eukaryota; Metazoa; Arthropoda; Insecta; Coleoptera; Hydraenidae. The record is from RNAcentral.